Molecule: non-coding RNA, 76 nt
Filed under: Rhizobium aethiopicum
Lineage: Bacteria; Pseudomonadati; Pseudomonadota; Alphaproteobacteria; Hyphomicrobiales; Rhizobiaceae
Source: RNAcentral
GGGAGCCGUAUGACGCGAGAGUGUCACGUACGGUUCUGGGAGCGCGCCGGGGUGAAAUUCCCUGGCGCGACUCGCU